AGAUAGAGGGACCAGGUCUGGGCUCACAGGAAUUACAGCCAUGGUCCCCACCCUCUAGGAUUUGGUCGAUAAGGCGUCUGUGCACAUGAAAACAAGGAACCUGCCAAGGCAAAAGAUGCUCUUCCUCUUAUAGAGGACUCUAGUUAAACUGUGACAUCGUAAAAGCUACUCAAUAUGGGAUUUUUGAAUGAUGUAAAGAGUUAGUAGAAGUGAGAUAUGAUGUCAGGCAGUCGGACAAAGAAAUUGUGUCGCUUCUUCACUAGGCUGCUAUUAACAGGCUGGUACUUGUAAAGUUUUAUAUUUCAAGAGGUGCUGUUGUAGAUCAGUUGGGUGGAGAUUCCAAUUCCUCUCUUCUUCAUUGGACCAUCCAACAAGGACAUUCAUCUAUGGUCAUAUUAUUACUCCAGCAUGGUAUAGACUCUACUCUCAUUGAUGGAGAGGCAUUCAGCACCAACCACCUGGCAUUAUUAUUUCAACACAUAAAUAUUAUAGCAUAUCUCAUUUCAAAGGGGCAGAGUGUGAAUAUGACAGAUGUAAAUGGAUAGACACCACUCAUGUUAUCAGCUCACAAAGCAAUUGGGCCUGAACCAAAUGGAUUUCUUUUAAAGUUUAAUCCUUCUCUCACUGUGGUUGACAAGAAACACCAAAACACUUUACUGGGCAGUUGCAGCAGGAAAUGUUAAUGUAGUUGAUAAACUUUUAGAAGCCUGGAUAUCCGAAAAGCUAAGGAAGAGAGAGACACCCCUUGACAUGGCUCUACAAAACAAAAAUCAGCUCAUUAUUCACAUGCUAAAAACAGAAGCUAAAAUGACAGUCAAUCAGAAGUUUAGACUUUGUUGGUGGCUACAGAAAUGUGAGCUCUUCCUGCUGCUCCUGCUUUCUCUGAUUACCAUGUAGGCUGUUGGAUACAUACCGGAUUUCAGUUCAGAUUUGUGGCUUGUAAAAGGAUGUCUUCUGGUAACAUUGUUUUUUCUGACAUCUUUGUCUCCAAGGUUCUUGGCAGGGUAUAAGAACUUUGUAUACUUGCCAACAGUCUUUCUGCUAAGUUCCAUUUUUCGGAUAUUUAUGACUUGGUUCAUCUUAUUUUUUCCUGAUUUUAGCAGGAACCCCUUUCUAUUUUGCUUUCAUUUUCAGCAUAAUAGGCUUUUUUUACUUUUUCUACAACUGAUCCAGGCUUCACUAAGACUUGUGAAAAAGAAAGAAAAGUGAGUAUCUUUUGUAGAAACUGGCUGUCUGGACUUCAGAACAUUUUGUGCAUCAUGUCCUAUAAGGAAGCCAUAAAGAUCACUCCAUUGCUGUGUAUGCACCUCCUGUGUGGCUUGAUAUGAUCAUCACUGCCUGUGGACCAGAUGCUGCAUACGUUUUGGUAACCAUUGCUAUUACAUAUUAUUCUUGUUUUCCUUUCCAUAGUAUGUGACUAGAUUAUCUAUGGAUCAUUUGUCUAUUGGUCAAAUCAUUGUGCCACAACAUUCAAAGAAGAUGAACUGUGGUCUUACCCCAGUCAGACUGUAGCCUGUUCCCUUUGGGUUUUAUACAUCUUCAUGCUAGCAGCUUUCCAUUUCUUACGGUCAACGUUUUGGUUAUUAAAUCUGCUCUUUCAGAUCGCUUUUCUGGGCCGGACCGCCCAUGAGAGAAUCAGCCUGCUGAAGCAGAGCAGGCAUAUGACACAGCCAAGGUCCCUCAGGAAGACACUACACCUUGGAGUCAUGCAGAACCUGGCAGAUUUCUUCCAGGAUGGCUGUUUUGGCUUGGUGAAGCCCUCUGUAGUAGAUUGGACAUCUCCAUACACCAUAGUCUUCCACCCAGCCCAAGAGAAGGUUCUUCUCUCGGUAUGA
This is an RNA transcript of Carlito syrichta (Philippine tarsier), 1835 nucleotides long. It is a transcript of the gene named palmitoyltransferase ZDHHC13-like, with no coding region annotated. The transcript has a single exon. NCBI's taxonomy places the organism in Eukaryota, Metazoa, Chordata, Mammalia, Primates, Tarsiidae. The record is from RefSeq and is a predicted model, not a curated record.